AUGCGAAUUCAAAAUAAGGGUAAAAUGUCAGUACCUGAUAUUCUGAGGAGUUCUCACCGAUUCGAUGCUUUGAAGAACCAUCGGAAAUACUAUGGGAGAAAAAGGCAUCAUGGACCUGGUUCAGUGGGCUUAGCAUCCAAAUUGUCUUUACUAGAUCAUGCCCCAGGAUUCUGGAUAGCACCCCCUAAAGUCCACAACAAUCAUUUUUUUGGACACUUGGAAGCUUGCAAAUAA
This is a non-coding RNA of Vicia faba (fava bean), 234 nucleotides long. Lineage: Eukaryota; Viridiplantae; Streptophyta; Magnoliopsida; Fabales; Fabaceae. The record is from the annotation of a GenBank genome assembly.